This 682-nucleotide ribosomal RNA is filed under the name uncultured Lachnospiraceae bacterium. RNAcentral describes it as "bacterial SSU rRNA". It matches the Rfam family "Bacterial small subunit ribosomal RNA", at positions 62 to 744 of the family's 1533-position model. Lineage: Bacteria; Bacillati; Bacillota; Clostridia; Lachnospirales; Lachnospiraceae. The record is from RNAcentral.
UCGAACGAAGCACUUGAAUGGAAUUCUUCGGAAGGAAGCUCAAGUGACUGAGUGGCGGACGGGUGAGUAACGCGUGGGUAACCUGCCUCAUACAGGGGGAUAACAGUUAGAAAUGACUGCUAAUACCGCAUAAGCACACGUGAUCGCAUGAUCGAGUGUGAAAAACUCCGGUGGUAUGAGAUGGACCCGCGUCUGAUUAGCUAGUUGGUGGGGUAACGGCCCACCAAGGCGACGAUCAGUAGCCGGCCUGAGAGGGUGAACGGCCACAUUGGGACUGAGACACGGCCCAAACUCCUACGGGAGGCAGCAGUGGGGAAUAUUGCACAAUGGGGGAAACCCUGAUGCAGCGACGCCGCGUGAAGGAUGAAGUAUUUCGGUAUGUAAACUUCUAUCAGCAGGGAAGAAAAUGACGGUACCUGACUAAGAAGCCCCGGCUAACUACGUGCCAGCAGCCGCGGUAAUACGUAGGGGGCAAGCGUUAUCCGGAUUUACUGGGUGUAAAGGGAGCGUAGACGGCAGUGCAAGUCUGAAGUGAAAGCCCGGGGCUCAACCCCGGGACUGCUUUGGAAACUGUGCAGCUAGAGUGUCGGAGAGGCAAGCGGAAUUCCUAGUGUAGCGGUGAAAUGCGUAGAUAUUAGGAGGAACACCAGUGGCGAAGGCGGCUUGCUGGACGAUGACUGAC